UACGGAGGGAGCUAGCGUUGUUCGGAAUUACUGGGCGUAAAGCGCGCGUAGGCGGCUUUGUAAGUUAGAGGUGAAAGCCCGGAGCUCAACUCCGGAACUGCCUUUAAGACUGCAUCGCUUGAAUCCGGGAGAGGUGAGUGGAAUUCCGAGUGUAGAGGUGAAAUUCGUAGAUAUCGAGAGGAACACCGGUGGCGAAGGCGGCGAUCUGGACGAUGACUGACGCUGAGACGCGAAAGCGUGGGGAGCAAACAGG
RNAcentral lists this ribosomal RNA (253 nucleotides) under uncultured bacterium. RNAcentral describes it as "partial 16S ribosomal RNA". It matches the Rfam family "Bacterial small subunit ribosomal RNA", at positions 524 to 776 of the family's 1533-position model. The record is from RNAcentral.